RNA transcript from Setaria italica (foxtail millet), 1655 nucleotides. RefSeq lists it as uncharacterized. The transcript has 5 exons. The record is from RefSeq and is a predicted model, not a curated record. NCBI's taxonomy places the organism in Eukaryota, Viridiplantae, Streptophyta, Magnoliopsida, Poales, Poaceae.
UUCAUGCAUGUACCGUAAGUUUGAUGUGAUGGGGAAUCUUCUUUUUUAUAGUGUUAAAGUUGGAAGUUAGGGUGAAAUAAACAAGGGCGAGAAGAUCCAGCGGCCCCUGAGAGUAGCACCCGAGGUGGCAGUCCUCGGGCCAGCGGCCCCGGAGCCAGCAGCCCCCGGGCCGACUACUGGUUCGGAGGUAGUCGAGGCUGUGGGUGCUGCUGGUCGGUCAACGGGACCCACCGCAAGUACUGCGGCUGCUGUGUCAGCGGCUUCAUAUGGUGCUGCACCGGCUGCCGUCAGUACUAGUGUGGCCGCAACCGAUCUUGCUCCAAGCGGCUGUCCUGGGGCUGGGAAUAAAAGGUAUUUGCGAUGUCCGCCUCGCUCGAGCAGGUGAUAACUCGAAAUCUUAUUUAUCUAGAUAUUUGUCGAUAAUCGUUGUUGGAUUGUUAUUUGUUGUGCUUUGAUUGUGUCGGGGAUGAGGAAGACGUCAUCCCUGCUGAUGAUGGCUCCAAGUUGGGGCUGCCGACUGCUGCCGCGGAGGCUACUUCUACUCUAGAGGCUACUCCCUUGAUGGAUUUGACCGAAGAGGAGUUUAUUAUUGCCCCUGUGUCAAAGUUGGGAGUUGGGAGUAACUAAACAUGGCCCUAGUUGUCAUUGACAAAUCCCCGGUCGACAAGCAAGGAGAAUCUGCGGUAAGGGAAUCAACGGGUACUCGUGAUGCCGAUGCGGUCGAUAACCAAGUACUUGAAUUGCCGGCGGAGUCGGAGGUUCAAGGGGUGAUGCAUGCCGUCAACUCUUGUGUUCGGGACUUGUAUGACUGAGCGCAGAAGAAUACCCAGCUUCUUCAUGAGCGUGCAGAGGCUGCACUUCGUGUUGCCCAGCUUGAGAGCGAUCUCAUGGAUGAACGACGCUCGUGGGAUAUUUGAAGACCCACGAUGAUGCUGUCAAGUCUUUUGCUUGAGCGGCGGGAACUCGAAGCUCAAGUGAAGAAGCGGGAUGCCCGGUACAAGUCGUUGCAGCAGAAGUGCCAAGAGCUCAAGAGCGUCGAAGCUCAUGCAGCUAGUCGGCUGCUUGAUUGUAUGAAUGCGCAUGAUCGAGUAGCUGAUGAGGCUGCCAACCUUAGGGAUCAGCUUGCUGAGGCUCGUGAAGCUUAUGCUUCUGAGAAGGAGGAGAAGCCUAGCAUGGCAGCCUCUCUGGCCAUAGCUAUGGUGGCCAACCGGGGUCAUGCUAUGACCCGAGAGAGGAUUCGAGCGGACUUCCAGGAGUUGUUGAGCGCUGCUCUGAUGGUGGCCAAUGUACUCGACCCGCUGAGGAAAGUGUUGAGCCUCGAUCCUUAGUCGAAAGGUUGAGGGGUGCCCCGGGUAUUAUUGCUAGUCCCUGCUUGCCAGCAGGUACUAGCAAUAGUGAAGUUGUACUAACCGCGGGCAGAUUUGUUCGCUGCUGGAGAGGGGAUAGCUCGGAGUUGCACGGACGCCAAGUGGGAACAGUACCUGGGGGAGGUUGAACCCAUAGCUGCUAGAAUGACCGAGUAUGUAACCUCUGAUGGUCAGUAGCAAUGGUAGUCCUGUAUUUAGUGUCGAGUAGUUUGUGAUGGACUCGAACAUAUUAUUUUGUCGUCAUAAUCCUGAACAAUGACUGUCUUGAAUUCUACUCAUGGUUUAUCA